This 408-nucleotide long non-coding RNA is filed under the name Equus caballus (horse). Its description in RNAcentral is "lncRNA (ENSECAG00000056390.1)". Lineage: Eukaryota; Metazoa; Chordata; Mammalia; Perissodactyla; Equidae. The record is from RNAcentral.
CCCAGGGAACAAGACAUUGGCAGCAGCCAUUAUUGUGACCUAGUACAGGCAUGCUGACACAGAUGCCAGCAGACGCCAUUGGAGUUCUUCCUCUGGCCUGUUAGCCCAGGGGUUGGCACCACAUACUAAAGCACUGAUUUAAUCCAGUUCAGCCGUGGCAGGCAGUUGGCCCUUGGCACUGGCUGGCCCCACUCAACAGCAAGCCCUCAGGCAAUUCAUGGGCCCACAUAAGCAGGGUGCCUGAAAACUCUGGCUGCCAGCCCCAAAGCUCAAGAGUAGUGAUGCUGGCAAUUUGGAUAUACCAAAGAGAAGCUGUAAAGUGCUUUCUUUAAGUGAAAAGUUUCUAUUUCAGAGCUCCGUGGGAAGAGUGGAGAGCGCAGAGCAGACCCAUUCCCAGCUACCUGAAUG